AGAGGGUGAUCUUGGCUCAGGAUAAACGCUGGCGGCGCACAUAAGACAUGCAAGUCGAACGGAAGUCGUUAUAAAACGGAUUGAAGAUUUAUCAGAUUGAAGUUUUAUAACAAUGGCUUUAGUGGCGGACUGGUGAGUAACGCGUAAGGAAUCUACCUGUUAGAGGGGAAUAACAAUGAGAAAUCAUUGCUAAUACCGCAUAUGCCAUAGUUAUCGCAUGAUAAUAGUGGGAAAGGAGCAAUCCGCUAACAGAUGAUCUUGCGUCUGAUUAGUUAGUUGGUGGGGUAAAGGCCUACCAAGACGACGAUCAGUAGCCGGACUGAGAGGUUGAACGGCCACAUUGGGACUGAGAUGCGGCCCAGACUCCUACGGGAGGCAGCAGUCGGGAAUAUUGCGCAAUGGAGGAAACUCUGACGCAGUGACGCCGCGUAUAGGAAGAAGGUUUUCGGAUUGUAAACUAUUGUCGUUAGGGAAGAAAAAAGACAGUACCUAAGGAGGAAGCUCCGGCUAACUACGUGCCAGCAGCCGCGGUAAUACGUAGGGAGCAAGCGUUAUCCGGAUUUAUUGGGUGUAAAGGGUGCGUAGACGGGCGAUCAAGUUAGUUGUGAAAUCCCUCGGCUCAACUGAGGAACUGCAACUAAAACUGGUUGUCUUGAGUGCAGGAGAGGUAAGUGGAAUUCCUAGUGUAGCGGUGAAAUGCGUAGAUAUUAGGAGGAACACCAGUGGCGAAGGCGACUUACUGGACUGUAACUGACGUUGAGGCACGAAAGUGUGGGGAGCAAACAG
RNAcentral lists this ribosomal RNA (786 nucleotides) under uncultured bacterium. RNAcentral's name for it is "bacterial SSU rRNA". It matches the Rfam family "Bacterial small subunit ribosomal RNA", at positions 8 to 775 of the family's 1533-position model. The record is from RNAcentral.